AUUACACACCGGUAGCGGUGAGGGACGCAUGUGGAGAAUCGCUGCAGGGGCCGUCCACCGACGCAACGCUGAACUAAAAAGAGCAGUGUUCGAUCCUAUGGAAUUGGCCAGGUUUUGAUGGCAAGCUAGGAACCCUGCAUUGAGGCAACAUGCCUGGAAGGUUGAAGCCCAGAUUCACUGAUGAGCUGUCACCCACCUGCUCUGCUCUGACCCAGCUGGUAGGAGGCUUUGCAGCCGUCCUUUUCCUUUUGUCCCUCUUUGGCCUUCAUAGAAAACUUCACUCCUUUCCUCCACUCCUGAACCUCUGGACACUCGAUUACUUGGCCAUUGGACUGUUGUAUGUUUUGGGACUCUCAGUAUAUGAGAUGAAUGCGUUUUGUAAAUUGAGCUCAUUGAAAUGUAUUUGUAAAUUAUUGUUGUGAAUUUGUAUUCUGGUUUUUUCGCUUUAUAAUAUAUGGUACCACCACUGCUGCAAAUUGUGUGCUCGCCUCUUUUCCAUCUCACUCCCAGAGCCGAAAUCUGGAUUUUUCUGAUUCUAGCCUAGAAAUUACAAUUAAAGUGUCUAAAGCUAAUGUUAAAUGUAAUAGCGCAUUGUACAUGCUACAUAGCCAUUAGAAAAUAAUCAAUAAUUGGUUGA
This is a non-coding RNA of Doryrhamphus excisus (bluestripe pipefish), 637 nucleotides long. Lineage: Eukaryota; Metazoa; Chordata; Actinopteri; Syngnathiformes; Syngnathidae. The record is from RefSeq and is a predicted model, not a curated record.